This 148-nucleotide ribosomal RNA is filed under the name Androctonus australis garzonii. Its description in RNAcentral is "5.8S ribosomal RNA". Lineage: Eukaryota; Metazoa; Arthropoda; Arachnida; Scorpiones; Buthidae. The record is from RNAcentral.
UCCGACCCUCAUACUGGCGAGGCCACGGGAAAGAUCUAAGCCGCGUGUGCUUUCGAACAAUCAGUGCUCAAUGUGUCCUGCAAUUCACANCUUGUCUCGCAUCUGGCUGCGUUCUUCAUCGACCCGUGAGCCGAGUNAUCCNGCACUU